Oncorhynchus kisutch (coho salmon) is the source of this 4987-nucleotide long non-coding RNA. RefSeq lists it as uncharacterized. The transcript has 3 exons. The record is from RefSeq and is a predicted model, not a curated record. NCBI's taxonomy places the organism in Eukaryota, Metazoa, Chordata, Actinopteri, Salmoniformes, Salmonidae.
UACAGGCAGUGCUACGGGCAGUGCUACGGGCAGUGCUACAGGCAGUGCUACUCAGCUGAACUGUAUCUGCUGCCUGUUUAACAGUGGGGAGAAGACAUUAUUAGGCGGCGUGCUCCUCCCUCUCCACAGCCAGGCAGCCUUAUCUGUCAGCCAUUAGUUAAUCAAGGCUGGUAACGUAGAAGUAGAGCAGAAAACCGGCACAGCGCGUGGGGCCAAAGAACAACCUCUGAGAGCUGAGCUGAGCAGUGCAGGAGGAGGGCAAAGACCUGGGAACCGACCAACCCCUCCACUCUAAACUCUACUACCAGGCUAGGCUGCUGCCUCACUCUACUCAACACUGGAUCAGAGCGUGUCUUUGUCUAGGCAUGGCAGGCUGCAAUUGUAUGAUGACAUCCGCCCAUUCCAUCACAGAGGACAGGUCCUGUUUUGCAAGGAAGUUUCAAAGACAGAAGUCAAAACAACACAUGCUGUCGACGUGGGAAAAGCUGGUAAGAGCAGAACACCGUGGGGCGGAGGAAUGUCAGAGUCAUAGAUCGUUCAUCCUCAAGGCCAAAAUAGCCACACACAGGCCUGAUCAUCUCCAUGCAUGGGAAGAAACAUUAAGCAACACCUCAUACUAGCACUAAUACAGUCCAGUCUAACCCUGGACAACAUGGUCCAAAUCUGGCAUCCAGACAUCAGUGGCCAAAGAGAUAUCAUUAGACAAUUACUACACGAGUAAGUAGGCUGUAUUAACUGAAAUGAAUUGGUAUUAACUCGCAAAUAGGAUUUCCUCACAAAAGAGUUGGCACAAACCAAUGUCAUAAGUAUAUUUAGAUACCGAAGGUAAAAAAUAGGGACAUUUCUUAUUGGCGUCACCAUGGAGUUUAUUGUAAGGGUAAUGACGAUUGAAAAGGAUAUUGCAAAGUCUAAAUAAAUAUUGGUCUGUGUUAACAAAGUUGACAAAAUGUUCACUACAAGAGCUUAAGGCUGCUUGUGAUGGAAAAUGAAAGCAGUCAACUAAACUCAACUGUGUAGUUGGUGCCAAACUGUGCCUCUGCCAUGGCUAGAAACUCAAAUAAACUAUCCUAAAAGGGCAUAUUAAGUUUCCCCAACACUAUUAUCUUUUUAAGUCAACACCAUUCAGAAAAGAUGAACUGAGCAAACCAUAAGUCAACUUUUGGGAAUGACAAAAACAACCAGUUUUUCUACCUGUCCAAACAUUCAGCUGGAACCAAUAUCCAUUUCCAUGUCCCACUCCAGAAAAACUCCAUUGGUGCUUCAUUGAGUACAAUGCUGUUGUCUCAUAAAGCUAUGCCAGACCAGGAAAGUGAACCUGAUUUCGGACAGCAGAACUAAAAAGACGGAACAAUGCAUGAGAUUCUAAAGUGACCUUUGGCCCAGGAUUUCCAAGGGCUUCCAAGAGUCCCUAUUCCUGGCAAAUUCCAUCUUCUUCUUACUCAACACCACUUCACUGUUAAGCUGUCAAGACCCAAACUCUAGUGUCAUUUAUCCUAGUGACGAGUUCACAACCAAAGCCAAAGACAUAGUGUUCUUUUAAAAUAAAUAAAUAAAAUCAAAUGUUAUUUGCCACAUGCUUCGUAAACAACAAGUGUAGACUAACAGUGAAAUGCUUACCUAUGGGCCCUUCCCAUCAACGCAGAGAAAAAUGAUAGAAAAAAAUGAUAACACAAGGAAUAAAUACACAACGAGUAACGAUAACUUGGCUAUAUAUAUGGGGUACAGCUAAUGUUUGUCUUACAGCAUUGUUCAUCCUGGGUUCCCAUAACAGAAUUGCAUCAUAAGACACCAACGACCUUGACCUUGGCCUUAUGUUCCAACCAAAAAGCUACAGUACAGAUAUCAAAGAGACACAAGAAAAUGUUGCCCAAAAUAUUGUAUGAUGGGACGAUCACAUUGUUCUUAGAUUGUUUGUAAUUUAGAGGUGGUUGAUCGUCAACACCUGCCCGUGUGUGUCUCAUUAACACAUUCCUCCAAUUUGAACCCUCUGUUUACACCUCUGUCUUUUUAUGGGGCCGCUAUGGGGGUGAAAUGGUGUUAAGCCUUGAGAAUAACUGUGUCCUUAACAGUAGAAGGAAAACAAGUUAGGUAAUAGCAUUGACUACAAAGUCAAAGGCAACUAUAAUACCUUGGCUUCUAGCACAUCAGAUAUAAUAUUUGCCCACCAAUGACUGCUUCACGUAGCCACACUGUAUAUUUUCAGAUCCUAGACGGGUGUCAAACAUACAGCCCAUGGGCCGGUUCCCUGGGUGGUUUGAGUAUAUACUAUAUUUUUGAAUAGGACUAUAUCAUUAUUCUGUCAUUAUUCUGAGUGGCGCGGCGGUUUAAGGCCCUGCAUUGCAGUGCUAGAGGCGUCACUACAGACCCAGGUUCGAUCCGUGAUCCGGAGUCCCUUAGGGCGUUGCACAAUUGGCCCAGUGUCGUCCGGGUUACGGGAGGGUUUGGCCGGGGUAGGCCGUCAUUGUAAAUAAGAAUUAGUUCUUAACUGACUUGCCUGGUUAAAUAUAUAUAUCGUUUUUUAAAUUUGAUACUUUAAAAUGACUAAAAGCAAAUCCAAACUGUGUAGAAAUGAUACAGUUUCUUGACUGUGUCCAGCUCGCUAAUAAUCACCCAAAUGAAAACAAGACAGUCAGGGAGCAUAGAAAAUUCAAAAAUCAAUGGAUAGAUUACAAUUAAUUUGUUUUGAUGGCGGGGAAAUAUAACCAAUAUCCAGUGCGGCCCUCCAGACCUCAUUGACAAAAUGAGUUUGUGCUUGGAAUUUACUCUGGCGGAUCUGACGCUGGAGGAUGAUAUAAGAGGACUGAACAUUGCGUGAUGUAAACGGCGGUGUCCUUUAAUCACAAAAGGAUGGGAGGGAGACGUUGGGGCUGAAUAUGUAGCAUCGAUGAGUACUGUAGGCUCAGACAUUGACUUGCUGGAAUGUCUUCACCAUCUGUGAACCAGCGGCCAUAAAGCUCUGAGAGACAGAUGCACAAGUAGAAACAGACCUGCCAGCCAGGUAGCUAAUGUGGAACGUGCAGUACAGGACCCACAUCAGUAAAGGUAGAGCCUGGAAGUCUUCAUAUAAAGAGUAAUACACUGUCUACUGCACUGCUAACUGACGCCACACAAGAAAGCAGCGGUGUAGGGUGUCUUGGUAAGAUGUGAGGUAAAAAGUAAUAAGCUCUACUUUCUAGGGAGAUAUCGUAUUUUGAGUGGGUUACCACGUUCUUCUAGGGCAACCUCAAACACUUUUCCCACUGAACCAAGUAUGGGGAGAAUUUUUAGAAAUAGAAAUAUUUAGAAAUAUGAAGAGUUUGUACAGUCCGACUACCAAGGUACAUCAACAUGACAGCCACCAACAGGCCCCAACAUGAAUAAUCUCCAGUAGAGACGAGGUGAGAGGAACAUGCAUUGAAGUCCCAUUUCAGAGAGGAUUCACCCCAUAAGCUUUAGAGACCUUUCUCUCAGAUGUGUUGCAAUGCCAGUUGAGGACCUGUUCCCGAUCAUUGGACGAGCCAGGGAAAGCCUAGUUUAAACGCUUCCAGAUCUCUACUUAUUUUAUCCCCCUGCAUCCAUCCCCAACUAGUCUCUCAAUCUUUUCCCCACUCUCUCUCCACUUGCUCUGCUCUGUAUCCAGUUUCUUUGUGGUCGCGAGUCAACUCCUGCCAUUUUAUGUCAUCACCCUCCGUCACUGAGACUGCAUUAGUGGCUAUGUCUAAACGAGGCUUUAAUGUACAGGACUAGGCCACAUAUAUAUCAAACUUUGAAGUUUGACAUCAACCGUGCUUGAUCGCAGAUGUCUAUAUAGGCAGGAGGGUUCACUGGUUUAGAUGAAAGACUCUCCAUCGCUGACACUUAAUAUUUAUGUUCCAUAUGUACUAUAGAAAUAUCUUGUAUAGUUCUCUCUCAGCCAAACGUUAAGAAAUGUGUGUGUUUUGUUGGGCAAUCUGGGAUAAAAACAAAUCAAUCUUUGUAUACAAGCCGUGUCUUUUCUCUGUCAUUUGUUUCUAUUGAGGCAUGGCAGCAUUAUUUCAUUGCUCUCUAAAUUGCAAGAAAUAAAUAUUGGACACAUCAAUGUUGAUGGAGAGCAUACUAAUAUUACAGUUGUUUUUUAAUCAAAUCCUGGGACAAAAACAAAUGACUUUGAUUUAAAACAGACAGGAAAUGUAAUAAUGAAAAAAAUGAGACUUAUUUUGAUAUAUGUUUUGUCUGUCCUCCAUGUUUUCCAACUGUUUGGCCUUUCGAUACAGACUUUGUUGCUGCUGUCAAAGCUAUACUUCUGUCCAAAGAUGUUGAUGCCUCAGAUAACAUCUCGAAGCAGAAUUUGGUUUGGUGCCUCCAAAGCCUUAACCCUCCGAACAUGCCCAAUCCUACAAGUAUACUGACCAAUACAACUCAUCAAUUGCAUAAUUUGGUUUGGCUUAAUGAAUAAAUCACCACUAACAGGGACCAAAUGUAACAUUAGCAUCCUGCUCUGGUUUCCAACCUAUGACAAGAACCAUGCUUGAAGAACUGAGACUGAGGGAACCUCCAAGUCUCCAAGUCCUAGCUAGUCCAGUUGAUCAGUGCUACACCGGCAUAUGGGCUGGAUCAGAAAACACAAGCUCAAUGAUGUUACUACCAUCUGACCCCAGGGUGACAGGUUUAGGGAAUUUGCCUCAGGCCAAAGUCAAAAAUGUUUAUGUUGUUGUCAUUUUAACAAAUGUCUUUCGUUCAGGGUCACGUCAACAAAGAUCGCUCUCAUUGGGACUCCUCCACUAACUGCAGGAAAUUUAUAAGCAACAAAUAAGCAUAAAUUACUAAAAUGUUGGAGUGUUCAAUUCAUCACAUUAUUGUUGGUUAGUUCUGCUUCACCCCAAAAAGUGUUGCAGCUGUUUUUAAAGCAAUCAACAUUACUUAAUGAUGUUACCAUUGUUGCCAUAUCUAUUUUGUGUGGAACUACUACUGCUCCCAAACUGUGUUUGAAUAACAAAAUCUGUGCAAUAAAUUUCAAUUAUUUUCUGUC